Non-coding RNA from Cinara cedri, 646 nucleotides. NCBI's taxonomy places the organism in Eukaryota, Metazoa, Arthropoda, Insecta, Hemiptera, Aphididae. The record is from the annotation of a GenBank genome assembly.
CAUUUAUCUUGGCCCGAGUGGUUUGACAUGUUGUGUUGUGAGCGCAAUACUCAAUUUAAUAUUUAUGGAUACUGAUUGAAUUAUAUUUGUAAUUUUUUUGUCGAUAUCUUAUCCAGAAAUAUUUAAGCAGUUAUUAUAUUUACAAAAGUAUAUUUGGAAAGAUGUUAAUUGAAGGUAUAACUAAUAUCAGAGAAAUCGAGUAAUAAAUAAACACGCGGUUCACAAAACACUAAUGGAAUGGGCGUUGUGCUUAAGUCUAUCUAUUUGAUAAAUUAGGCUGAACCUACACCAAGAACGUGUAUCGUCGAACACACGCAGUCAAAAUAAUCUCCUACAUUGGAAACGAAUGUCAGUUCGUCGUCAGCAGCUACGCUCAUUUUCCCCGCUUUUACGGAGAUCGGUGAUUUUGUUUUUUUCUACUACUUACUGUCGUUUUCAUUAGUCAAGUGUUUGUUAAAGUGUUUAACAGUAUAUAUUUAAAUUAAAAUGAGCGACUCCGAGGGCGAUCUUGACCUUUGAUUUUUAACGGAAACAAUUGGGCCAUUCAAGAUAAAGAAAAUGUGUGUGUACUGGUUUAAUAAACAAAGGAACGACGGCAAAUAUUUUAGAACCUGUCUACUCUUAUGCGACUUUCCAAAAAAAUUCU